CUUCUCUGGUUUCUCUUCAGAACGUAUAAAUCUUUCGCCUUUUACUAAAGAUUUCCGUGGAGAGGAACAUUUAUGAGUUUUGUAGUUAUUAAAAAGAUUUUUCUAUCCCGGAGUUC
Protobothrops mucrosquamatus (brown spotted pit viper) is the source of this 116-nucleotide small nuclear RNA. RefSeq annotates it as U5 spliceosomal RNA. The record is from RefSeq and is a predicted model, not a curated record. The transcript has a single exon. Lineage: Eukaryota; Metazoa; Chordata; Lepidosauria; Squamata; Viperidae.